RNAcentral lists this unclassified non-coding RNA (347 nucleotides) under soil metagenome. RNAcentral describes it as "partial contains 5.8S ribosomal RNA, internal transcribed spacer 2, and large subunit ribosomal RNA". The stretch from base 1 to 120 matches the Rfam family "5.8S ribosomal RNA", at positions 35 to 154 of the family's 154-position model. The record is from RNAcentral.
GAUGAAGAACGUAGUGAAAUGCGAUAAUUAAUGUGAAUUGCAGAAUUCAGUGAAUCAUCGAGUCUUUGAACGCACAUUGCGCCCCCUGGUAUUCCGGGGGGCAUGCCUGUCCGAGCGUCAUUGCUGCCCUCAAGCGCGGCUUGUGUGUUGGGCUUCCGUCCCUGGCAACGGGGACGGGCCCAAAAGGCAGUGGCGGCACCAUGUCUGGUCCUCGAGCGUAUGGGGCUUUGUCACCCGCUCCCGUAGGUCCAGCUGGCAGCUAGCCUCGCAACCAAUCUUUUUAACCAGGUUGACCUCGGAUCAGGUAGGGAUACCCGCUGAACUUAAGCAUAUCAAUAAGCGGAGGA